RNAcentral lists this small RNA (28 nucleotides) under Bombyx mori (domestic silkworm). RNAcentral's name for it is "piRNA piR-bmo-2246346". Lineage: Eukaryota; Metazoa; Arthropoda; Insecta; Lepidoptera; Bombycidae. The record is from RNAcentral.
UACUUUAACGGUCUUUUUGUACAUCACU